UUAAGUUAACAAGGGCGCAUGGUGAAUGCCUUGGCACUAGGAGCCGAUGAAGGACGGGACUAACACCGAUAUGCUUCGGGGAGCUGUACGUAAGCUAUGAUCCGGAGAUUUCCGAAUGGGGCAACCCAGCAGUUUUAAUCAACUGUUACCACUAGAUGAAUUCAUAGUCUAGUUGGAGGUAAACGCUGUGAACUGAAACAUCUCAUUAGCAGCAGGAAUAUAAAGAAAUUUCGAUUCCCUAAGUAGCGGCG
This 251-nucleotide ribosomal RNA is filed under the name Lactiplantibacillus plantarum ST-III. Its description in RNAcentral is "Lactobacillus plantarum subsp. plantarum ST-III partial 23S ribosomal RNA". It matches the Rfam family "Bacterial large subunit ribosomal RNA", at positions 3 to 251 of the family's 2925-position model. The record is from RNAcentral. Lineage: Bacteria; Bacillati; Bacillota; Bacilli; Lactobacillales; Lactobacillaceae.